Molecule: ribosomal RNA, 2924 nt
Filed under: Enterobacter sichuanensis
Lineage: Bacteria; Pseudomonadati; Pseudomonadota; Gammaproteobacteria; Enterobacterales; Enterobacteriaceae
Description: 23S ribosomal RNA
Rfam family: Bacterial large subunit ribosomal RNA
Source: RNAcentral
GGGUUGUGAGGUUAAGCGACUAAGCGUACACGGUGGAUGCCCUGGCAGUCAGAGGCGAUGAAGGACGUGCUAAUCUGCGAAAAGCGCCGGCGAGGUGAUAUGAACCUUUGACCCGGCGAUGUCCGAAUGGGGAAACCCAGUGUGUUCCGACACACUAUCGUUAACUGAAUACAUAGGUUAACGAGGCGAACCGGGGGAACUGAAACAUCUAAGUACCCCGAGGAAAAGAAAUCAACCGAGAUUCCCCAGUAGCGGCGAGCGAACGGGGAGCAGCCCAGAGUCUGAAUCAGCUUGUGUGUUAGUGGAACGGUCUGGAAAGUCCGACGGUACAGGGUGAUAGUCCCGUACACGAAAACACACAGGUUGUGAACUCGAAGAGUAGGGCGGGACACGUGGUAUCCUGUCUGAAUAUGGGGGGACCAUCCUCCAAGGCUAAAUACUCCUGACUGACCGAUAGUGAACCAGUACCGUGAGGGAAAGGCGAAAAGAACCCCGGCGAGGGGAGUGAAAAAGAACCUGAAACCGUGUACGUACAAGCAGUGGGAGCACCUUCGGGUGUGACUGCGUACCUUUUGUAUAAUGGGUCAGCGACUUAUAUUCUGUAGCAAGGUUAACCGUAUAGGGGAGCCGAAGGGAAACCGAGUCUUAACUGGGCGUUAAGUUGCAGGGUAUAGACCCGAAACCCGGUGAUCUAGCCAUGGGCAGGUUGAAGGUUGGGUAACACUAACUGGAGGACCGAACCGACUAAUGUUGAAAAAUUAGCGGAUGACUUGUGGCUGGGGGUGAAAGGCCAAUCAAACCGGGAGAUAGCUGGUUCUCCCCGAAAGCUAUUUAGGUAGCGCCUCGUGAACUCAUCUUCGGGGGUAGAGCACUGUUUCGGCUAGGGGGCCAUCCCGGCUUACCAACCCGAUGCAAACUACGAAUACCGAAGAAUGUUAUCACGGGAGACACACGGCGGGUGCUAACGUCCGUCGUGAAGAGGGAAACAACCCAGACCGCCAGCUAAGGUCCCAAAGUCAUGGUUAAGUGGGAAACGAUGUGGGAAGGCACAGACAGCCAGGAUGUUGGCUUAGAAGCAGCCAUCAUUUAAAGAAAGCGUAAUAGCUCACUGGUCGAGUCGGCCUGCGCGGAAGAUGUAACGGGGCUAAACCAUGCACCGAAGCUGCGGCAGCGACGCUUAUGCGUUGUUGGGUAGGGGAGCGUUCUGUAAGCCGUUGAAGGUGGCCUGUGAGGGUUGCUGGAGGUAUCAGAAGUGCGAAUGCUGACAUAAGUAACGAUAAAGCGGGUGAAAAGCCCGCUCGCCGGAAGACCAAGGGUUCCUGUCCAACGUUAAUCGGGGCAGGGUGAGUCGACCCCUAAGGCGAGGCCGAAAGGCGUAGUCGAUGGGAAACAGGUUAAUAUUCCUGUACUUGGUGUUACUGCGAAGGGGGGACGGAGAAGGCUAUGUUAGCCGGGCGACGGUUGUCCCGGUUUAAGCAUGUAGGCGGAGGUUCCAGGUAAAUCCGGUACCUUUUUAACGCUGAGGUGUGAUGACGAGGCACUACGGUGCUGAAGUAACAAAUGCCCUGCUUCCAGGAAAAGCCUCUAAGCAUCAGGUAACAUCAAAUCGUACCCCAAACCGACACAGGUGGUCAGGUAGAGAAUACCAAGGCGCUUGAGAGAACUCGGGUGAAGGAACUAGGCAAAAUGGUGCCGUAACUUCGGGAGAAGGCACGCUGAUAUGUAGGUGAAGCCCCUGCGGGUGGAGCUGAAAUCAGUCGAAGAUACCAGCUGGCUGCAACUGUUUAUUAAAAACACAGCACUGUGCAAACACGAAAGUGGACGUAUACGGUGUGACGCCUGCCCGGUGCCGGAAGGUUAAUUGAUGGGGUUAGCGGUAACGCGAAGCUCUUGAUCGAAGCCCCGGUAAACGGCGGCCGUAACUAUAACGGUCCUAAGGUAGCGAAAUUCCUUGUCGGGUAAGUUCCGACCUGCACGAAUGGCGUAAUGAUGGCCAGGCUGUCUCCACCCGAGACUCAGUGAAAUUGAACUCGCUGUGAAGAUGCAGUGUACCCGCGGCAAGACGGAAAGACCCCGUGAACCUUUACUAUAGCUUGACACUGAACACUGGUCCUUGAUGUGUAGGAUAGGUGGGAGGCUUUGAAGUGUGGACGCCAGUCUGCAUGGAGCCGUCCUUGAAAUACCACCCUUUAAUGGCUGGUGUUCUAACGUAGACCCGUGAUCCGGGUUGCGGACAGUGUCUGGUGGGUAGUUUGACUGGGGCGGUCUCCUCCCAAAGAGUAACGGAGGAGCACGAAGGUUAGCUAAUCCUGGUCGGACAUCAGGAGGUUAGUGCAAUGGCAUAAGCUAGCUUGACUGCGAGAGUGACGGCUCGAGCAGGUGCGAAAGCAGGUCAUAGUGAUCCGGUGGUUCUGAAUGGAAGGGCCAUCGCUCAACGGAUAAAAGGUACUCCGGGGAUAACAGGCUGAUACCGCCCAAGAGUUCAUAUCGACGGCGGUGUUUGGCACCUCGAUGUCGGCUCAUCACAUCCUGGGGCUGAAGUAGGUCCCAAGGGUAUGGCUGUUCGCCAUUUAAAGUGGUACGCGAGCUGGGUUUAGAACGUCGUGAGACAGUUCGGUCCCUAUCUGCCGUGGGCGCUGGAGAAUUGAGGGGGCUGCUCCUAGUACGAGAGGACCGGAGUGGACGCAUCACUGGUGUUCGGGUUGUCAUGCCAAUGGCACUGCCCGGUAGCUAAAUGCGGAAGAGAUAAGUGCUGAAAGCAUCUAAGCACGAAACUUGCCCCGAGAUGAGUUCUCCCUGAGACUUUAAGUCUCCUGAAGGAACGUUGAAGACGACGACGUUGAUAGGUCGGGUGUGUAAGCGCAGCGAUGCGUUGAGCUAACCGAUACUAAUGAACCGUGAGGCUUAACCUUACAACGCCGAAG